Molecule: long non-coding RNA, 636 nt
Organism: Athalia rosae (coleseed sawfly)
Lineage: Eukaryota; Metazoa; Arthropoda; Insecta; Hymenoptera; Athaliidae
Exons: 4
Source: RefSeq, a predicted model, not a curated record
UUCCGCUUUACCAAGAGCAGUUUCUGCCGAACACACGUAACCGCCAAAGUCCUUUUUCUCAAGAGAAUGGACCGUAAGAUUCAUUUGCCAAGCGUAGUCGCUCAACGUCGUCUCUGCCAUCAUGUACUUGUCGUUUGGGUUGGCAAAGAGGGAGGGGGAGUCUUACAUCAUUGCGAAUGUUGAUUGAUUUUUCUUUAACAAUGAGGAAAAAUUAAUUUCAGCGAUGCAGAAAAUGGUUUGAAAUUUUUCGAAUCAUCCCUUGGCUAUGCGCAAGUAUGAUCAAACCUGAAGAACCGGAAGUGGAACGUGGUCUGGUAUUCCCGAGGCAUUCCGCAGUGUUCAUGGCUCGCGGAGAAGCUUCGACGUAACAUUGAAGCACCACGUCUCUGUCAACGGGGGCGGCGACUAGCUGGUUAGUGACCUUGAUCAGAGGUGGAACUUGAAGAAUAGAAAAAAUACGAGGAUAAUGAAUUUUUGUUUGCUGGAAAAUAUUUCGAGUACCCCGUUGCUGGCGAUGCAGAGAUAAAAGCCCAUUUCCUGACGGAGGACGCCAACCAACUCCAGUGUCUUACCUUCGUACACCUUGACCGCUGCGUUGGAGGGGACAAUUGAAAACGUUAUUUAUUCUGAUUCAAC